Molecule: transfer RNA, 74 nt
Filed under: Caulerpa verticillata
Lineage: Eukaryota; Viridiplantae; Chlorophyta; Ulvophyceae; Bryopsidales; Caulerpaceae
Description: tRNA-Ala
Rfam family: tRNA
About the family: Transfer RNA (tRNA) molecules are approximately 80 nucleotides in length. Their secondary structure includes four short double-helical elements and three loops (D, anti-codon, and T loops).
Source: RNAcentral
UGGGGAUAUAGCUCAGUGGUAGAGCGCUGCUUUUGCACGGCAGAUGUCAGGAGUUCGACUCUCCUUAUCUCCAU